This 525-nucleotide ribosomal RNA is filed under the name Triticum aestivum (bread wheat). RNAcentral's name for it is "partial small subunit ribosomal RNA". The record is from RNAcentral. Lineage: Eukaryota; Viridiplantae; Streptophyta; Magnoliopsida; Poales; Poaceae.
AUGUCAAGGGAUCCACUUGUUGUAGGCAAUGUAGUUGGAGAUAUCUUGGACCCAUUUAUCAAAUCAGCAUCACUCAAAGUCUUAUACAACAAUAGGGAGCUGACUAAUGGAUCUGAGCUCAAGCCUUCACAAGUAGUCAAUGAGCCACGGAUCGAGAUUGCUGGGCGUGACAUGAGAAACCUUUACACUUUGGUAAUGGUGGAUCCUGACUCACCAAGUCCAAGCAAUCCAACCAAAAGAGAAUACCUUCAUUGGUUGGUGACAGACAUUCCGGAAUCAACAGAUGCAAGCUAUGGAAACGAGAUAGUCAGCUACGAAAGCCCAAAGCCAACAGCAGGAAUACAUCGCUUUGUCUUUGUGAUUUUCCGCCAAUCUGUCCAGCAGACCAUUUAUGCACCAGGAUGGAGACCGAAUUUCAACUCAAGGGACUUCUCAGCACUUUACAGUCUAGGCCCACCUGUGGCUGCAGUAUUCUUCAACUGCCAAAGGGAGACCGGAUGCGGUGGCAGACGAUACAUCAGAUGA